Molecule: long non-coding RNA, 666 nt
Filed under: Phasianus colchicus (ring-necked pheasant)
Lineage: Eukaryota; Metazoa; Chordata; Aves; Galliformes; Phasianidae
Description: lncRNA (ENSPCLG00000022326.1)
Source: RNAcentral
CUCUAUUUAAUCUCAGCCCAGGCACACCUGUUCUCUUUCAUAAUGUUGUAGGAGCGUGGGUUCUCUGCUUGGUUACAGCUGUAGUUGCCUAUAGAUCCUGGCUUGUUCAUGGAUCUCCUGGCUGAGCUGCAGAGCUGCCCUGUCACUGUGGGCAUGUCUGGCAGUCUGUGGAUUAUCUCUCAUCCUGAUCUUGCAUGAGCUGCACUGCUUUCCUGGCUUGUUACUAUGGGAUGGAUCUACCUUGGUGGUGCUCUCAGUUCCUGCUUCUCCAUCCUGCUGGGGUAAGUGUGGUGCCCCCAAACUGGGACGGAUCCACCUGGUGGGACACCUGCACCUCUCCUGAGCUGUCCCACACUGCACCUUCUACACUGCGCUGAGUUGGCCAUUUCAGAACUGGAGCUCCUUCAGCAGGAAGAUGCUGCUGCUGGAGAAGGGGUUAAUUCUGCUCACUGAUUUUUCUUGUUUUACUCUUUUCAUUUUCCCUAACUCCUCAGAGAGAAGCAUGAGCUCAGAUUUACAGAGCGUUAGGGCUAGACCAGGCUCCUCUUCAGGGAAAGCCUGAAAUGCCAGGCAAGGAUUUUACCUCUUUUGUCUGCUUUUCUGCAGAAGAUGCUUGUUAAAAGCAGAGGCUAAAAUUCAGUUGUAGAUCUAUGAGAUGUAGAAAUC